Molecule: ribosomal RNA, 911 nt
Filed under: uncultured archaeon
Lineage: Archaea
Description: bacterial SSU rRNA
Rfam family: Archaeal small subunit ribosomal RNA
Source: RNAcentral
UCYGGUUGAUCCUGCCRGACCCGACUGCUAUCAGAAUAGGACUAAGCCAUGCGAGUCAACGUAGCAAUACGUGGCAUACGGCUCAGUAACACGUAGUCAACAUGCCCAGGGGACGUGGAUAACCUCGGGAAACUGAGGAUAAACCGCGAUAGGUCAUAAUAUCUGGAAUGAUUUCUGGCUAAAAUCUAUAUGGCCCCUGGAUUGGACUGCGGCCGAUCAGGCUGUUGGUGAGGUAAUGGCCCACCAAACCUAAAACCGGUACGGGCUCUGAGAGGAGAAGCCCGGAGAUGGGCACUGAGACAAGGGCCCAGGCCCUAUGGGGCGCAGCAGGCGCGAAAACUCUGCAAUAAGCGAAAGCUUGACAGGGUUAUUCUGAGUGAUUUCCGCUAAGGAAAUCUUUUGGCACCUCUAAAAAUGGUGCAGAAUAAGGGGUGGGCAAGCCUGGUGUCAGCCGCCGCGGUAAUACCAGCACCCCGAGUGGUCGGGACGAUUAUUGGGCCUAAAGCAUCCGUAGCCGGUUCUACAAGUCUUCCGUUAAAUCCACCUGCUUAACAGAUGGGCUGCGGAGGAUACUAUUGAGCUAGGAGGCGGGAGAGGCAAGCGGUACUUAGUGGGUAGGGGUAAAAUCCGUUGAUCCAUUGAAGACCACCAGUGGCGAAGGCGGCUUGCCAGAACGCACUCGACGGUGAGGGAUGAAAGCUGGGGGAGCAAACCGGAUUAGAUAACCGGGUAGUCCCAGCUGUAAACGAUGCAGACUCGGUGAUGAAUAGGCUUCGUGCCUCUUCAGUGCCGCAGGGAAGCCGUUAAGUCUGCCGCCUGGGGAGUACGGUCGCAAGACUGAAACUUAAAGGAAUUGGCGGGGGAGCACCACAAGGGGUGAAGCCUGCGGUUCAAUUGGABUCAACGCCGGR